UACGUAGGUGGCAAGCGUUAUCCGGAAUUAUUGGGCGUAAAGCGCGCGCAGGUGGUUUCUUAAGUCUGAUGUGAAAGCCCACGGCUCAACCGUGGAGGGUCAUUGGAAACUGGGAGACUUGAGUGCAGAAGAGGAAAGUGGAAUUCCAUGUGUAGCGGUGAAAUGCGUAGAGAUAUGGAGGAACACCAGUGGCGAAGGCGACUUUUUGGUCUGUAACUGACACUGAGGCGCGAAAGCGUGGGGAGCAAACAGGAUUAGAUACCCUUGUAGUCC
RNAcentral lists this ribosomal RNA (273 nucleotides) under uncultured Bacillus sp. RNAcentral's name for it is "partial 16S ribosomal RNA". It matches the Rfam family "Bacterial small subunit ribosomal RNA", at positions 524 to 796 of the family's 1533-position model. Lineage: Bacteria; Bacillati; Bacillota; Bacilli; Caryophanales; Bacillaceae. The record is from RNAcentral.